This 476-nucleotide ribosomal RNA is filed under the name uncultured organism. RNAcentral's name for it is "partial 16S ribosomal RNA". It matches the Rfam family "Bacterial small subunit ribosomal RNA", at positions 333 to 800 of the family's 1533-position model. The record is from RNAcentral.
ACACUCCUGCGGGAGGCAGCAGUGGGGAAUUUUGGACAAUGGGCGAAAGCCUGAUCCCGCAAUGCCGCGUGAGUGAAGAAGGCCUUCGGGUUGUAAAGCUCUUUUGUCAGGGAAGAAACGGUGAGAGCUAAUAUCUUUUGCUAAUGACGGUACCUGAAGAAUAAGCACCGGCUAACUACGUGCCAGCAGCCGCGGUAAUACGUAGGGUGCAAGCGUUAAUCGGAAUUACUGGGCGUAAAGCGUGCGCAGGCGGUUUUGUAAGUCUGAUGUGAAAUCCCCGGGCUCAACCUGGGAAUUGCAUUGGAGACUGCAAGGCUAGAAUCUGGCAGAGGGGGGUAGAAUUCCACGUGUAGCAGUGAAAUGCGUAGAUAUGUGGAGGAACACCGAUGGCGAAGGCAGCCCCCUGGGUCAAGAUUGACGCUCAUGCACGAAAGCGUGGGGAGCAAACAGGAUUAGAAACCCCAGUAGUCCCAUGA